Molecule: small RNA, 424 nt
Filed under: Shewanella pealeana ATCC 700345
Lineage: Bacteria; Pseudomonadati; Pseudomonadota; Gammaproteobacteria; Alteromonadales; Shewanellaceae
Description: cspA thermoregulator
Rfam family: cspA thermoregulator
Source: Rfam by way of RNAcentral
UGCUAUUGAGAGUGAUUAAUGAAACAUAAAAGUAAAACAUCAGAAUUCCUUCGUUAUUGUUGUUAUCCUCAGUUUUCCCUUAUCUUCAUCAUCACAUUAAAUAAUUCAAUUUUUCAGUGCAUCGCAUAAUGCGACAAUUUUUUAUGAAUUUAAAUAUAUAAGGGACACAACAUGUCUAAUACAACUGGUAUCGUAAAAUGGUUUAACGAAGAGAAAGGUUUUGGUUUCAUUACUCAAGACAACGGCGGCGCUGACGUAUUCGUUCACUUCCGUGCAAUCACUUCAGACGGCUUCAAGACUUUGGCUGAAGGCCAGAAAGUAUCUUUCGAAGUAGAGCAAGGUCAAAAAGGCCUUCAAGCAGCUAACGUAAUCGCGCUGUAACUUCGUAAGUUGACGUAAAUGGUUUUAUAACCAUUUACGUCAU